GUCCCGGUAGCUCAGCUGGACAGAGCGCGGCACUACGAAUGCCGAGGUCCGAGGUUCGAAUCCUCGCCGGGACG
Molecule: transfer RNA, 74 nt
Filed under: Amycolatopsis nalaikhensis
Lineage: Bacteria; Bacillati; Actinomycetota; Actinomycetes; Pseudonocardiales; Pseudonocardiaceae
Description: Amycolatopsis sp. 2-2 tRNA-Arg
Rfam family: tRNA
About the family: Transfer RNA (tRNA) molecules are approximately 80 nucleotides in length. Their secondary structure includes four short double-helical elements and three loops (D, anti-codon, and T loops). Further hydrogen bonds mediate the characteristic L-shaped molecular structure. tRNAs have two regions of fundamental functional importance: the anti-codon, which is responsible for specific mRNA codon recognition, and the 3' end, to which the tRNAs corresponding amino acid is attached (by aminoacyl-tRNA synthetases). tRNAs cope with the degeneracy of the genetic code in two manners: having more than one tRNA (with a specific anti-codon) for a particular amino acid; and 'wobble' base-pairing, i.e. permitting non-standard base-pairing at the 3rd anti-codon position.
Source: RNAcentral